Molecule: long non-coding RNA, 156 nt
Organism: Sapajus apella (tufted capuchin)
Lineage: Eukaryota; Metazoa; Chordata; Mammalia; Primates; Cebidae
Exons: 2
Source: RefSeq, a predicted model, not a curated record
CUGAGAUUUGCUUAAAUGUAAUCUUGAGAACAGGAGAAUAAGAAUUAAUUUUAAUCUGUCAAUUUAUUUAAAUUUGGCAAAUAAGUCACCUGGAGAGCAAGCUAGAAUUCACAGGUACUUCUUAGUUAAAUUUAAUUUAAAACAUAUUUAUUCCAG